This 763-nucleotide ribosomal RNA is filed under the name uncultured Streptococcus sp. RNAcentral's name for it is "bacterial SSU rRNA". It matches the Rfam family "Bacterial small subunit ribosomal RNA", at positions 28 to 775 of the family's 1533-position model. Lineage: Bacteria; Bacillati; Bacillota; Bacilli; Lactobacillales; Streptococcaceae. The record is from RNAcentral.
GAUGAACGCUGGCGGCGUGCCUAAUACAUGCAAGUAGAACGCUGAAGCUUGGUGCUUGCACCGAGCGGAUGAGUUGCGAACGGGUGAGUAACGCGUAGGUAACCUGCCUCUUAGCGGGGGAUAACUAUUGGAAACGAUAGCUAAUACCGCAUAAAAGACGAUAUCGCAUGAUAUUGAUUUGAAAGAUGCAAUUGCAUCACUAAGAGAUGGACCUGCGUUGUAUUAGCUAGUUGGUGAGGUAACGGCUCACCAAGGCGACGAUACAUAGCCGACCUGAGAGGGUGAUCGGCCACACUGGGACUGAGACACGGCCCAGACUCCUACGGGAGGCAGCAGUAGGGAAUCUUCGGCAAUGGGGGCAACCCUGACCGAGCAACGCCGCGUGAGUGAAGAAGGUUUUCGGAUCGUAAAGCUCUGUUGUAAGAGAAGAACGAGUGUGAGAGUGGAAAGUUCACACUGUGACGGUAACUUACCAGAAAGGGACGGCUAACUACGUGCCAGCAGCCGCGGUAAUACGUAGGUCCCGAGCGUUAUCCGGAUUUAUUGGGCGUAAAGCGAGCGCAGGCGGUUAGAUAAGUCUGAAGUUAAAGGCUGUGGCUUAACCAUAGUACGCUUUGGAAACUGUUUAACUUGAGUGCAGAAGGGGAGAGUGGAAUUCCAUGUGUAGCGGUGAAAUGCGUAGAUAUAUGGAGGAACACCGGUGGCGAAAGCGGCUCUCUGGUCUGUAACUGACGCUGAGGCUCGAAGCGUGGGGAGCAACAGG